GCCAUCCUAGCUCAGUUGGUAGAGCAAUUCAUUCGUAAUGAAUAGGUCGUCGGUUCGAGUCCGAUGGAUGGCUCCA
Molecule: transfer RNA, 76 nt
Filed under: Neolewinella marina
Lineage: Bacteria; Pseudomonadati; Bacteroidota; Saprospiria; Saprospirales; Lewinellaceae
Also listed under: 3 other names
Description: Lewinella marina tRNA-Thr
Rfam family: tRNA
About the family: Transfer RNA (tRNA) molecules are approximately 80 nucleotides in length. Their secondary structure includes four short double-helical elements and three loops (D, anti-codon, and T loops). Further hydrogen bonds mediate the characteristic L-shaped molecular structure. tRNAs have two regions of fundamental functional importance: the anti-codon, which is responsible for specific mRNA codon recognition, and the 3' end, to which the tRNAs corresponding amino acid is attached (by aminoacyl-tRNA synthetases). tRNAs cope with the degeneracy of the genetic code in two manners: having more than one tRNA (with a specific anti-codon) for a particular amino acid; and 'wobble' base-pairing, i.e. permitting non-standard base-pairing at the 3rd anti-codon position.
Source: RNAcentral